RNAcentral lists this ribosomal RNA (307 nucleotides) under uncultured eukaryote. RNAcentral's name for it is "partial 18S ribosomal RNA". It matches the Rfam family "Eukaryotic small subunit ribosomal RNA", at positions 1470 to 1796 of the family's 1831-position model. The record is from RNAcentral.
CCCUUAGACGUUCUGGGCCGCACGCGCGCUACACUGACGAAGGCAACGAGCUACUCUUCACCGAAAGGUGUGGGUAAUCUUUUGAAACUUCGUCGUGCUGGGGAUAGAUCCUUGCAAUUUUUGAUCUUAAACGAGGAAUUCCUAGUAAGCGCAAGUCAUCAACUUGCGUUGAUUACGUCCCUGCCCUUUGUACACACCGCCCGUCGCUACUACCGAUUGAAUGGUUUAGUGAGGCCUUCGGAUCCGCGACUCGUUUGUGGAGAAGUUGGACAAACUCAGUCAUUUAGAGGAAGUAAAAGUCGUAACA